This 460-nucleotide ribosomal RNA is filed under the name uncultured bacterium. Its description in RNAcentral is "partial 16S ribosomal RNA". It matches the Rfam family "Bacterial small subunit ribosomal RNA", at positions 338 to 795 of the family's 1533-position model. The record is from RNAcentral.
CCUACGUGAGGCAGCAGUGAGGAAUAUUGGUCAAUGGGCGCGAGCCUGAACCAGCCAAGUAGCGUGAAGGAUGACUGCCCUACUGGUUGUAAACUUCUUUUAUAAAGGAAUAAAGUGAGGCACGUGUGCCUUUUUGUAUGUACUUUAUGAAUAAGGAUCGGCUAACUCCGUGCCAGCAGCCGCGGUAAUACGGAGGAUCCGAGCGUUAUCCGGAUUUAUUGGGUUUAAAGGGAGCGUAGAUGGGUUGUUAAGUCAGUUGUGAAAGUUUGCGGCUCAACCGUAAAAUUGCAAUUGAUACUGGCAGUCUUGAGUACAGUUGAGGUAGGCGGAAUUCGUGGUGUAGCGGUGAAAUGCUUAGAUAUCACGAAGAACUCCGAUUGCGAAGGCAGCUUACUAAACUGCCACUGACAUUGAUGCUCGAAAGUGUGGGUAUCAAACAGGAUUAGAUACCCCAGUAGUC